RNAcentral lists this ribosomal RNA (1399 nucleotides) under bacterium. Its description in RNAcentral is "bacterial SSU rRNA". It matches the Rfam family "Bacterial small subunit ribosomal RNA". The record is from RNAcentral.
GUCGAGCGGUAGCACAGAGAGCUUGCUCUCGGGUGACGAGCGGCGGACGGGUGAGUAAUGUCUGGGAAACUGCCUGAUGGAGGGGGAUAACUACUGGAAACGGUAGCUAAUACCGCAUAACGUCGCAAGACCAAAGUGGGGGACCUUCGGGCCUCAUGCCAUCAGAUGUGCCCAGAUGGGAUUAGCUGGUAGGUGGGGUAACGGCUCACCUAGGCGACGAUCCCUAGCUGGUCUGAGAGGAUGACCAGCCACACUGGAACUGAGACACGGUCCAGACUCCUACGGGAGGCAGCAGUGGGGAAUAUUGCACAAUGGGCGCAAGCCUGAUGCAGCCAUGCCGCGUGUGUGAAGAAGGCCUUCGGGUUGUAAAGCACUUUCAGCGGGGAGGAAGGCGGUGAGGUUAAUAACCUUGUCGAUUGACGUUACCCGCAGAAGAAGCACCGGCUAACUCCGUGCCAGCAGCCGCGGUAAUACGGAGGGUGCAAGCGUUAAUCGGAAUUACUGGGCGUAAAGCGCACGCAGGCGGUCUGUCAAGUCGGAUGUGAAAUCCCCGGGCUCAACCUGGGAACUGCAUUCGAAACUGGCAGGCUAGAGUCUUGUAGAGGGGGGUAGAAUUCCAGGUGUAGCGGUGAAAUGCGUAGAGAUCUGGAGGAAUACCGGUGGCGAAGGCGGCCCCCUGGACAAAGACUGACGCUCAGGUGCGAAAGCGUGGGGAGCAAACAGGAUUAGAUACCCUGGUAGUCCACGCUGUAAACGAUGUCGAUUUGGAGGUUGUGCCCUUGAGGCGUGGCUUCCGGAGCUAACGCGUUAAAUCGACCGCCUGGGGAGUACGGCCGCAAGGUUAAAACUCAAAUGAAUUGACGGGGGCCCGCACAAGCGGUGGAGCAUGUGGUUUAAUUCGAUGCAACGCGAAGAACCUUACCUGGUCUUGACAUCCACAGAACUUAGCAGAGAUGCUUUGGUGCCUUCGGGAACUGUGAGACAGGUGCUGCAUGGCUGUCGUCAGCUCGUGUUGUGAAAUGUUGGGUUAAGUCCCGCAACGAGCGCAACCCUUAUCCUUUGUUGCCAGCGGUUAGGCCGGGAACUCAAAGGAGACUGCCAGUGAUAAACUGGAGGAAGGUGGGGAUGACGUCAAGUCAUCAUGGCCCUUACGACCAGGGCUACACACGUGCUACAAUGGCAUAUACAAAGAGAAGCGACCUCGCGAGAGCAAGCGGACCUCAUAAAGUAUGUCGUAGUCCGGAUUGGAGUCUGCAACUCGACUCCAUGAAGUCGGAAUCGCUAGUAAUCGUAGAUCAGAAUGCUACGGUGAAUACGUUCCCGGGCCUUGUACACACCGCCCGUCACACCAUGGGAGUGGGUUGCAAAAGAAGUAGGUAGCUUAACCUUCGGGAGGGCG